Molecule: ribosomal RNA, 402 nt
Filed under: uncultured bacterium
Lineage: Bacteria
Description: bacterial SSU rRNA
Rfam family: Bacterial small subunit ribosomal RNA
Source: RNAcentral
UCGGGAAUUUUGGGCAAUGGGCGAAAGCCUGACCCAGCAACGCCGCGUGGGGGAUGAAGUAUUUCGGUAUGUAAACCUCGAAAGAAUGGGAAGAAUAAAUGACGGUACCAUUUAUAAGCUCCGGCUAACUACGUGCCAGCAGCCGCGGUAAUACGUAGGGAGCAAGCGUUGUUCGGAUUUACUGGGCGUAAAGGGCGCGUAGGCGGCGCGGUAAGUCACUUGUGAAAUCUCUGAGCUUAACUCAGAACGGCCAAGUGAUACUGCUGUGCUAGAGUGCGGAAGAGNCAACCGGAAUUCUUGGUGUAGCGGUGAAAUGCGUAGAUAUCAAGAGGAACACCUGAGGCGAAGGCGGGUUGCUGGGCCGACACUGACGCUGAUGCGCGAAAGCCAGGGGAGCAAACG